CUUUACUUUAGGUACCACCCCCCAACCAGGAUACCUCCUUUGAAUCCAAAGGUCUAGAGUUUGUGCCAAGGCUAUCUGGACAGUUCCCUGUCUGUAUCCAGGUGGUUUCCCCAUUAACGCCACCUCUGUAUCCACCUCCUAGAGGAACCAUUAUUGGGAGAGAGGCCAGCAGAGUCCCUCAAGCCAGCAGCCAUAAGUCCCCAAGUCUGGCUGGGAGCCAGGGUUCUGCAGAGACACCUAGGAUGACUUGCAGAUGUCAGAAAGGAUAAAGGCAGGCAGCUGAGACAAGAGAGGAGUAGAUGGUGCUGCUGGCUAGCCUCAUCCAGACCCUGGCUACUCUCUCCAUCCACCACCACACCUUGAACAGAGCCUGCCUGGCCAGCAGCAGCAGACAUUCAGGGUCUCCGUCUCCCAUCAGCCCUUUCCACGGCAGCAAGAACUUCACUUUGGGAGGUAAAAGAAAAUGGAUGAACAUCUGCAGCUUCUGAAACUGCAGGGGAAAUGAAUGAACAUCUGCAGUCUCUACACUUAACAUUUAAAGAAUUCUCAGGAAAAGUGACACAGGGACAAUGGAACAACUGCCCUCUGUUUUAGAGAACUGAGCUCAUAAAAAGUCAACAUAC
Non-coding RNA from Ictidomys tridecemlineatus (thirteen-lined ground squirrel), 623 nucleotides. Lineage: Eukaryota; Metazoa; Chordata; Mammalia; Rodentia; Sciuridae. The record is from RefSeq and is a predicted model, not a curated record.